Molecule: ribosomal RNA, 497 nt
Filed under: uncultured bacterium
Lineage: Bacteria
Description: partial 16S ribosomal RNA
Rfam family: Bacterial small subunit ribosomal RNA
Source: RNAcentral
GAUGAACGCUGGCGGCGUGUCUAAUACAUGCAAGUCGAGCGAACGGACGAGAAGCUUGCCUCUCUGAUGUUAGCGGCGGACGGGUGAGUAACACGUGGAUAACCUACCUAUAAGACUGGGAUAACUUCGGGAAACCGGAGCUAAUACCGGAUAAUAUUUUGAACCGCAUGGUUCAAAAGUGAAAGACGGUCUUGCUGUCACUUAUAGAUGGAUCCGCGCUGCAUUAGCUAGUUGGUAAGGUAACGGCUUACCAAGGCAACGAUGCAUAGCCGACCUGAGAGGGUGAUCGGCCACACUGGAACUGAGACACGGUCCAGACUCCUACGGGAGGCAGCAGUAGGGAAUCUUCCGCAAUGGGCGAAAGCCUGACGGAGCAACGCCGCGUGAGUGAUGAAGGUCUUCGGAUCGUAAAACUCUGUUAUUAGGGAAGAACAUAUGUGUAAGUAACUGUGCACAUCUUGACGGUACCUAAUCAGAAAGCCACGGCUAACUACGUG